CACACACACACACACACACACACACACACACACACACACACACACACACACACACACACACACACACACACACACACACACACACACACACACACACACACACACACACACACACACACACACACUCACCACACACAUGCACACAUACAUUGCCGGAAUGAUCCAGCUUUGUUGCAUUGCUCGGCAAAAAUGCUCUGUUCCUUCUCCCCUGUCUCUCGUCCACAUUGAUACAAAUCAUAAAUUGAUAAGGUACUAAGAUGUAGAAUGUCUCCAUCAAAUCCAAUAAGAUACAACAGUGUCAUCUUUGGCAGGAUAGAUGGAUUUUCAAGGAAGAGUGGGAGCUGAUCAAGGGGUCGAAAAUGUAGAUAUUGCCAGAUGUAUGUUCACUGUCCGAGGAACAGGCCGUGGAAGCUUAAUUGCUGGGUAACGUGUCCAUAACCAGAGAUUCAGUAUGUGGAGGACCUGCUUUAUCAGGAGAAUCAUCUGGAAUCUGGAAACACUGGCAAUGGGGUCACUGUUCCUGACAUCCCAUAUGCCCCCUGUCUACUGGGAAUCUUGAUGUGCUGCAACGUCAAGUGAACCCAACCCCUGGACAUAUACAGCUCUGGAGAAAAUGAAGAGACCACUGCAAAAUGAUCCGUUUCUCUGGUUUUACUAUUUAUAGCUCUCUGUUUGGGUCCACAUUUCACAGUGGGUGCGAGACACUGUGGCUUGUAGGCCUCUCCAGGUCUCACACCCACUGUGACAUUUGGUUGUUCCUGGAAGAAAACUGGCUUCCUUCUGCUCUGACAAUGUUCCCCAACUCUGAGGAUUGGUUUCUCCAGCAGGACAAUG
This is a long non-coding RNA of Oncorhynchus keta (chum salmon), 834 nucleotides long. RefSeq lists it as uncharacterized. The record is from RefSeq and is a predicted model, not a curated record. The transcript has 4 exons. Lineage: Eukaryota; Metazoa; Chordata; Actinopteri; Salmoniformes; Salmonidae.